Long non-coding RNA from Brassica oleracea var. oleracea, 548 nucleotides. RefSeq lists it as uncharacterized. The transcript is spliced from 2 exons. The record is from RefSeq and is a predicted model, not a curated record. NCBI's taxonomy places the organism in Eukaryota, Viridiplantae, Streptophyta, Magnoliopsida, Brassicales, Brassicaceae.
AUCUCUGUUUCCAUCUCUUUUUCUUUCCUCUUUCUCUCUCUCCUUAACUCUUCAAUUUCUUGCCGUAAUCGCUCUUCAAUUUCUUGCCGUAAUCGCUUGUUCUCCUCCUCUGCUAAUCUUGACGUCUCUUUACUCAAAUUCUCUAUCUGAGAUUUGAGCAACAUGACAACAGAAACAGAUUCCCUGAGUAGGUUGACCUACGCCUGUGGGAAGUAAACGUCGUAAGAUGGCCGGUGUUGGAAACGAGUUGACUCGGCAGAAACUGAUUCAAUCACUGCUCAAUCUAUGUAACUCGAUUCGAGAUGGUGUCGAGCAUAUUCUUUGGUGGAACAUGUUCUAUUUUUUUUAUUUCAUUUAGCUAUUGUACACUUGAUCCUUCUUCUUUCCUUAUUUUCUAGUCAUGUAUGCCUUCUAAAAUGUUUGUGUUAUGAAGGUGGGAUAUGUCUUUGUGCGAUAAUGUUACUUAUAUUUUGUGCAAAUCUAUCUUUCACCAUAUAAAUUGAUAGAUUGUAAUCUCUAACAUUUAAACAUGAAGCUUAUUGAGGAUA